Molecule: long non-coding RNA, 333 nt
Organism: Pogoniulus pusillus (Red-fronted tinkerbird)
Lineage: Eukaryota; Metazoa; Chordata; Aves; Piciformes; Lybiidae
Exons: 3
Source: RefSeq, a predicted model, not a curated record
CUGAGACUGGUGAAAGUCUUCCUGUGACAUUGUCUUGGGUUCAGCAGUCGAGGACCUGUGUUCAGAGGGUUUUGUGAGUACCUGGAGGAAGACAACUGGAGAAAACUUGCACCAAGCUUUCAUGAUCAGGAAUUAUGGAAAACCUUUCAAAUCAUCACCUUUUUGGUUCAGGAGUGAAGAAAAAUAACAGGAAGGGAGACCCUGAGUGGUUCCCAGAUUCAAAGGAAUUCCUGCCACCUCUCUGUGUGUGCAUCUCUGCUCCUGGCAGCAGCCACCAGCCCUCCUCCUUACACAGACCCCAUCAAAUAUGAAAUCAGUUGGAGCAAAUAAGAU